Molecule: ribosomal RNA, 2508 nt
Filed under: Bacillus sp. Soil531
Lineage: Bacteria; Bacillati; Bacillota; Bacilli; Caryophanales; Bacillaceae
Description: partial 23S ribosomal RNA
Rfam family: Bacterial large subunit ribosomal RNA
Source: RNAcentral
CAGUAUCUUUAUCUGAAUACAUAGGAUAUUGAAGGCAGACCCGGGGAACUGAAACAUCUAAGUACCCGGAGGAAGAGAAAGCAAAUGCGAUUUCCUGAGUAGCGGCGAGCGAAACGGAAUUAGCCCAAACCAAGAGGCUUGCCUCUUGGGGUUGUAGGACACUCUAUACGGAGUUACAAAGGAACGAAGUAAAUGAAGCGACCUGGAAAGGUCCGUCGAAGAAGGUAACAACCCUGUAGUUGAAACUUCGUUCCCUCUUGAGUGGAUCCUGAGUACGGCGGAACACGUGAAAUUCCGUCGGAAGCUGGGAGGACCAUCUCCCAAGGCUAAAUACUACCUAGUGACCGAUAGUGAACCAGUACCGUGAGGGAAAGGUGAAAAGCACCCCGGAAGGGGAGUGAAAGAGAUCCUGAAACCGUGUGCCUACAAGUAGUCAGAGCCCGUUAACGGGUGAUGGCGUGCCUUUUGUAGAAUGAACCGGCGAGUUACGAUCCCAUGCAAGGUUAAGCUGAUAAGGCGGAGCCGUAGCGAAAGCGAGUCUGAAUAGGGCGUUUAGUAUGUGGUUGUAGACCCGAAACCAGGUGAUCUACCCAUGUCCAGGGUGAAGUUCAGGUAACACUGAAUGGAGGCCCGAACCCACGCACGUUGAAAAGUGCGGGGAUGAGGUGUGGGUAGCGGAGAAAUNCAACGGGUUACCGAAUUCAGUCAAACUCCGAAUGCCAAAGACUUAUCCAUGGGAGUCAGACUGCGAGUGAUAAGAUCCGUAGUCAAAAGGGAAACAGCCCAGACCACCAGCUAAGGUCCCCAAGUAUACGUUAAGUGGAAAAGGAUGUGGAGUUGCUUAGACAACCAGGAUGUUGGCUUAGAAGCAGCCACCAUUUAAAGAGUGCGUAAUAGCUCACUGGUCGANGAAGUCAGACCGUAAGGACUGGUGGAGCGCUUAGAAGUGAGAAUGCCGGUAUGAGUAGCGAAAGACAAGUGAGAAUCUUGUCCACCGAAUGCCUAAGGUUUCCUGAGGAAGGCUCGUCCGCUCAGGGUUANNNNNNNNNNNNNNNNNNNNNNNNNNNNNNNNNNNNNNNNNNNNNNNNNNNNNNNNNNNNNNNNNNNNNNNNNNNNNNNNNNNNNNNNNNNNNNNGCUGGAUAUGCGCGUUCAAGCAGUUAGGCUGAUGAGUAGGCAAAUCCGCUCAUCAUAAAGGCUGAGCUGUGAUGACGAGGNGCCCGUACCGCAAACCGACACAGGUAGGCGAGGAGAGAAUCCUAAGGUGAUCGAGAGAACUCUCGUUAAGGAACUCGGCAAAAUGACCCCGUAACUUCGGGAGAAGGGGUGCUCUGGUAGGGUGUAUAGCCCGAGAGAGCCGCAGUGAAUAGGCCCAGGCGACUGUUUAGCAAAAACACAGGUCUCUGCGAAGCCGCAAGGCGAAGUAUAGGGGCUGACGCCUGCCCGGUGCUGGAAGGUUAAGAGGAGGGGUUAUCCUUUGGGAGAAGCUCUGAAUCGAAGCCCCAGUAAACGGCGGCCGUAACUAUAACGGUCCUAAGGUAGCGAAAUUCCUUGUCGGGUAAGUUCCGACCCGCACGAAAGGCGUAACGAUCUGGGCACUGUCUCAACGAGAGACUCGGUGAAAUUAUAGUACCUGUGAAGAUGCAGGUUACCCGCGACAGGACGGAAAGACCCCGUGGAGCUUUACUGUAGCCUGAUAUUGAAUUUUGGUACAGCUUGUACAGGAUAGGUAGGAGCCUGAGAAGCCGGAGCGCUAGCUUCGGUGGAGGCGUCGGUGGGAUACUACCCUGGCUGUAUUGAAAUUCUAACCCGCGGCCCUGAUCGGGCCGGGAGACAGUGUCAGGUGGGCAGUUUGACUGGGGCGGUCGCCUCCUAAAAUGUAACGGAGGCGCCCAAAGGUUCCCUCAGAAUGGUUGGAAAUCAUUCGUAGAGUGUAAAGGCACAAGGGAGCUUGACUGCGAGACCUACAAGUCGAGCAGGGACGAAAGUCGGGCUUAGUGAUCCGGUGGUUCCGCAUGGAAGGGCCAUCGCUCAACGGAUAAAAGCUACCCCGGGGAUAACAGGCUUAUCUCCCCCAAGAGUCCACAUCGACGGGGAGGUUUGGCACCUCGAUGUCGGCUCAUCGCAUCCUGGGGCUGUAGUCGGUCCCAAGGGUUGGGCUGUUCGCCCAUUAAAGCGGUACGCGAGCUGGGUUCAGAACGUCGUGAGACAGUUCGGUCCCUAUCCGUCGUGGGCGUAGGAAAUUUGAGAGGAGCUGUCCUUAGUACGAGAGGACCGGGAUGGACACACCGCUGGUGUACCAGUUGUCUUGCCAAAGGCAUCGCUGGGUAGCUAUGUGUGGACGGGAUAAGUGCUGAAAGCAUCUAAGCAUGAAGCCCCCCUCAAGAUGAGAUUUCCCAUAGCGCAAGCUAGUAAGAUCCCUGAAAGAUGAUCAGGUUGAUAGGUCAGAGGUGGAAGCGUGGCGACAUGUGUAGCUGACUGAUACUAAUCGAUCGAGGACUUAACCAAAA